AGGAUAAACGCUGGCGGCGUGCCUAACACAUGCAAGUCGAACGCCCUUGAGCAAUCAAGGGAGUGGCGGACGGGUGAGUAACACGUGGGUACCUACCCCAAGGUGAGGAAUACCGGCGAGAAAUCGCCGACAAUACCGCAUACGUUUCGCAAGAAACAAAGCUCGCAAGGGCGCCAUGGGAAGGGCCUGCGGCCGAUUAGCUGGUUGGUGAGGUAAGAGCUUACCAAGGCGACGAUCGGUAGCUGGUCUGAGAGGAUGAUCAGCCACACUGGGAUUGAGAACGGCCCAGACUCCUACGGGGGGCAGCAGUGAGGAAUUUUCGUCAAUGGGGGGCAACCCUGAACGAGCAACGCCGCGUGCAGGAAGAAGGUUUUCGGAUCGUAAACUGCUUUUCUCUGGGACGAGAACGGACGGUACCAGAGGAAUCAGCCCCGGCUAACUACGCGCCAGCAGCCGC
This 457-nucleotide ribosomal RNA is filed under the name uncultured bacterium. Its description in RNAcentral is "SSU rRNA". It matches the Rfam family "Bacterial small subunit ribosomal RNA", at positions 26 to 518 of the family's 1533-position model. The record is from RNAcentral.